RNAcentral lists this ribosomal RNA (395 nucleotides) under Leptocylindrus sp. RNAcentral describes it as "partial small subunit ribosomal RNA". It matches the Rfam family "Eukaryotic small subunit ribosomal RNA", at positions 582 to 975 of the family's 1831-position model. The record is from RNAcentral. Lineage: Eukaryota; Bacillariophyta; Leptocylindrophyceae; Leptocylindrales; Leptocylindraceae.
AUUCCAGCUCCAAUAGCGUAUAUUAAAGUUGUUGCAGUUAAAAAGCUCGUAGUUGGAUUUCUGGUGCAUUCCACUGGCCUAUUGGUUAACUCCAACUUGGCUCAUUUGGAAUACGCCAUCUUUAGGCAGACCCGUCGUGGCAUUAGGUUGUCGUGAUGGUUACGCCUAUCGUUUACUGUGAAGAAAUUAGGGUGUUCAAAGCAGGCUUAUGCCAUGAAUACGUUAGCAUGGAAUAAUGAGACAGGAUUUCGGUACUAUUUUGUUGGUUUGUGUACGGAAAUAAUGAUUAACAGGAACAGUGUUGUGGGUAUUCGUAUUUCGUUGUCAGAGGUGAAAUUCUUGGAUUUACGAAAGACGAACGACUGCGAAAGCAUUUACCAAGGAUGUUUUCAUCG